UAUUAAUUUAUUACUACUCAUUAUUCAUAAUAAUAAGUGAAAACAUUUCUUUCCAGUGUCCCUGGCAGGGAGUAAGGGAGCGUGUUUAGAUCGUUCUCCUUUUCUUUUUUCCCAGAAAUGAUAUAAUGAGCUUCAACCUAGAAGAGUCCUUUCCUAAGCAUGGAAGUUACUUCCCAGGAGGGACUUGGGUGCUGAAGUGCUUGGAUCUGCCUCAUUAAUCUAUGUGGUAGAGAAGUUUCUCAUUUUCCUGACUUUGCUUGGAGCCCAGGCCCAGAUACAAACUGGAGGAUAAAAGGAGGCUACUUAAAAUAACACCAGCUAUUUUUAUAAGAGUGAUAAAAUAUCUUGAGCAAGAGAAGUGGCUCUUAAAACCAGCCGCUAUGGUCGCUCCUCUUGAUGAAGAAGGUUUAUUCUCAUGACACAUUUCAUAGCUUUAUAAUCUGGGCUAUUAGAAAACAGAAAGCCCAAGGAGCAUUUAUGACAUCUUAUAAGGCUGAGGUUAUUUUAAAACCUCAUGAAACCAUGGACAAAUAUUCUUCAAAAUCUGAAAGUAUGAUUCUGGGAGUCUGGGUGUGGAGAGCCCAAGCAACGCAGUUGGAAUUUCUGCCUUUUUACCAUAAAGUGCGGUCGGCAUAGAGAGGGGUUUAGUACUCCACUAAAACUUCUGUGAGCUAUUGGUCUUUAGUUGGAUAUUUAAGGCAUUUUCCAGGUAUCUUAGUGCUAAGUCCAUUCUUCUUCUUCACUAAAACAAUUUACAAAUUCAAAAAGGAUAUUAUUUGGUGAUGCAGCCUAGCAGAGAAAGUAUUACGAUCCAUGGAAGUUAGCAUAGCUAAAAUUUGUAUUAUCUUAAGCAUGAAAUUGUAAUAAAUCAGUGAACAAAUGAAAUUGGUGUGAUAGA
Molecule: long non-coding RNA, 898 nt
Filed under: Sus scrofa (pig)
Lineage: Eukaryota; Metazoa; Chordata; Mammalia; Artiodactyla; Suidae
Description: lncRNA (ENSSSCG00050036966.1)
Source: RNAcentral